Molecule: long non-coding RNA, 741 nt
Filed under: Panax ginseng (ginseng)
Lineage: Eukaryota; Viridiplantae; Streptophyta; Magnoliopsida; Apiales; Araliaceae
Description: long non-coding RNA (PGIN_LNC002498)
Source: RNAcentral
UCUACGGUGUCUGAAUAUCCUUAGAUAACUCUCAUGCCCAGAAGGAGUUCAAUACUACUAUGUUUCUUAUUUGGGUAAAGUUCAGAUCACCACCUGGGGUUUGGGGUCUUUCCCACUUAACCACCUGUAGUCAGUAAAGCUACAUUUAAACUCUCGACUUUUUGAGUUGAAGUGAAAACGUCACUUUUUCCAUCCAACUUAACCGUGCGUGUAUGUCAAAUGCCAAAAGCUCGUGAGAAGAGGCUGUAACGAUAAAAAAGACUGGUAAAUGUCUGAAAUACCCCCUUCUUGAUUACAGGUGGUUAAGUGAGAAAGACCCCAAACCCCAGGUGGUUUCUUUCAAUCAUGUCAAUCAAUUAAUGAAUAUCUACAAAUCCGGCUUGCUUCCAAGUUGAAAGUAUUCAACACAACAUCAUGGUCAAAUAAAAAACAUAUUAUUAAGAUUUUCAACAAAUAAAAAAAUAUUUCAAAGCAAUACUAGUACAGGUGGAGAGGUACUCCUGCAGACCCCUUCUUCACUUGUCCAAAUUAAGUUGAAGGCUGCUCAUUUAUAUCGAAUUUACUGUGUUAGCAUUUACAUUUACAUUUUACAUCAAAUUUACAUCGAAUAUACUAGUUUGCUGAUAUUCAUGAAUAUGUUUGCUGAUAUUAGCACUACAGUAGAAGGCCUGUGACGCCCCCAAAAUAGGUCCAUUCCACCCAACCCAUUCUGAGUCGCCAAAUACAUGGUACAGAAAUAAC